RNAcentral lists this long non-coding RNA (796 nucleotides) under Homo sapiens (human). Its description in RNAcentral is "HSALNT0055909". Lineage: Eukaryota; Metazoa; Chordata; Mammalia; Primates; Hominidae. The record is from RNAcentral.
GUAGCAUCUUCUUGUAGCUCCCAGCCCAGCCCACCCCAUAUGGAACAGAAGAACUGCCCAGAUAAGCUCUACUAGCAUUCCUAAUCAACAGAAGUUAAUUCUGGCUUAUGCAAGCAAAACAAAAUGAAUUGGAGCAAUAUGAGUUGAUCCACAGAAUGGACAGGAGCCUGGAGAGCAGAACAGGAAUCGGCUACCCUAGACCACUGGGCAUCAGGUAUUGCUCCAUCAUCUUGUCUGGAUUCUGGUAAUGCCUUUCAAAUAUUGUUCUGAUCCUGAGUAACUCUGGAUCUGCUUGAGAUUGAGUCUAAAGAGAGAUAAGCUGGGUUGCAUACCUAACCAUUGGCUACUUGAGGACAGGGGACCUGAUUUACAAUCCCACAAGGAGUAUGCAAAAUUAGAAAGUCGUGAUUCCCCCCCAAAAUAAAAUCAGAGUGCUAUUUAAGGGGGACAGAACACUAUACAGUAGAAAAUGCAUCCUCUACAUACUGUUAAAAGAAUAAUGCAAAACCAAAAAGCGUACACAUAGUAAACCACCAUUUAUGUUUUUUAAAAAUGGGAGAGAAUACAUAUUACAUGUAUACAUGUAGAACAUAUUCUUAAAAAAAAAAAAAAACACUAGAAACAACCUUAACAUUGUAUCUCCCAUUAGGCCCUAAGUUCCAUGAGGGCAAGAAGUGUGUCUGUCCCAUUCAUUUCUGUAUUUCCAAUGACUAACAGUAUGUCUUACACACAGGAGGCACAUAAUAAAUAGUGGCAGAGUGAAUAAAGGAUGUAAUUCUACAAAGGAGAAGAGGGA